GGAGAGGUGGCUCAGUGGUUAAGAGUACUGGCUGGCUGUUCUUCCAGAGGACCCGGGUUCAAUUCCCAGCAUCCACA
Molecule: transfer RNA, 77 nt
Filed under: Neotoma lepida (desert woodrat)
Lineage: Eukaryota; Metazoa; Chordata; Mammalia; Rodentia; Cricetidae
Rfam family: tRNA
About the family: Transfer RNA (tRNA) molecules are approximately 80 nucleotides in length. Their secondary structure includes four short double-helical elements and three loops (D, anti-codon, and T loops). Further hydrogen bonds mediate the characteristic L-shaped molecular structure. tRNAs have two regions of fundamental functional importance: the anti-codon, which is responsible for specific mRNA codon recognition, and the 3' end, to which the tRNAs corresponding amino acid is attached (by aminoacyl-tRNA synthetases). tRNAs cope with the degeneracy of the genetic code in two manners: having more than one tRNA (with a specific anti-codon) for a particular amino acid; and 'wobble' base-pairing, i.e. permitting non-standard base-pairing at the 3rd anti-codon position.
Source: Rfam by way of RNAcentral